UUCCACUCUAGACAGAGCAAAAAGUUUGCGCCAAAUUUUUUGACUCUCACGAAAAAACUCAAUUUUUUCCACAAAAACUUUGUGAAUUUUAUAAAAUUCUUUUGGAAAGAAAUUUAUCAAUAUUCAUUGUUGCUAAAUUGAUAGGAAUAUCAUUUGGAGUGGAUGGAGUUUUGCAGGAACAAGCGUAAAUAAAUUUGACAGCUUCGGGGAAGGUCAAACAAAGAAAAAAGCUGGUCAGCAUGUCAGAUUCGGAUGAUUUUGAGGAGGACUCUGUGGAGGACUUUUCUGCCAGUGAGGAUGAGUGGAAACCUUCGAAAAGGGAUGCUUCCACAAGCGAUGAGGAUGAUGCUUUCGAAGAGGAUGAUGAGGAUGAAUCCAGCAGCAGGGGCACAAAGAGAAAACGUCCUGGAAAAGCAGGAGGACGAUCAAAUGCUGGUCCAGCUAAGAAAAGGCCUUCAUUGAGGGCAAAGCUGUUCAGGAAGUAUAAACCACCACCGAAGACAGUCAAAAGUCCUCCUGGACCACCAAGAAUCAUUCCGGGUACAAUUCAGGAGAUUUUGGAACGAUCGCGGUAUGAGAAGAGCAAAAAAGCCGCUGAUUCCGAUGAUUCCGGGAGUAGUGGUGAUGAGCAUCUUGUGCCGGCGAGUGAGCUAGAUCUCGGAUCGGAUUUCUUCAGUACAAAGGAUCAAAAGGCAGCAACUCCUCCGCCCAAUUUUGACUGCAACAUCGGUACAAGGCUGUCAGAUUCCGAAGAGGAUGAUGAAGAGCCCAAGGACACCAAGAUUAUGUCCACCAUUGUCUCGAGAAUCAAUCAAACAUCCUCCAAAUCUGUUGAUUUCAAGAAACUCUCGGACUUUACGGAGAAGAAACCAACAGUGGGUGCUGGAAAGGAUAAAGGGACUGCUGAUAAUUUGGAUAUUUCCUCCCUUUUGGCCAUGGGAGAGUCCGGCAGUACCGAAAAGAAGACAUCCAAGUCCCGGAAACGACCAGCACCGAGAGAUUCAGACUCUGAUUGGGAAGAAGUUGAAGAUUGGGAGCAUCCGCAGGAGGAGGGAAUCCCUGCUGGUGGGAUUGUCGUGGAACUUCCUGGGGAAUUUAAACGGCGUACACGGAAGGAAAUUGAUUUGGAGGCCUGUCUGAAGCGGAAGCUCAAUCGACAGAUUAAGGAGAAUCAGGUUUACCUCCAUAGGGUUAGUAUUCUCUGCUUCCUGGCUACUGGGAAUUAUCUCAAUGGUGUUCUGUGUAAGGGGAAGCUCCUGGAUGCAGCCAUAAAGCUUCUGCCGAGUCAAAAUAGCUAUCCACGGAAGAAUGGGGCGGACACGCAGUACUUCCAGCACAUGACAAGCUGGUUUAGGGGUGCUCUCAAAGUGAACAGCCCUAAAAUGUACGGGAAACUUACGACGGUGAAGCUCUCAGAGCAGCUCGACGAGGAGAUCCGCACACGCCAAGUUUCUUGUUUCCGGAAUUUUAUUCUUAUCUUCCUCCUUCUGCUCCGGGGGAUGGCUAUUGAUUCCCGAUUGGUACUUAACUUUACUGGGCAUCCCCUGAGGCCACUUCCCAGCCAACUCUGUCGGAUCUCUGCAAAACCCAAAGUGGAGAAGGAUGAGAAAAUCCAAGUGGGUGGGAAAAAAGCUAAAAUUGAAGAGAAAUCCCCUCAGGCUGGAAGCUCAAAGGCUCCUGCUACAAAUGGGAAAGUCUCAAAAGUUAAUCUGGAAAAGGUGUCCAAAAGUGUGAAGGCCAAAGGGAAGAAUGUGCUCCCGGAAAAAACUCUCAGGGACAAUGGGAAAGUCCUCAGAAGUCAUGGGGCAAAAAUUAUUAAGAGAAUACCUUCAGAAAAUACGCCUGAUAAGCAAUUUGAAGAAUCCCCACGGAAAAUUUCUCCAGAAAACGAAGUAUCUCCGAGGAAAACACGCUCGCAGAUGAAGGCACAAACAUCCCAAGCACCCAAUUUGACUAAGCUGAAGAAAGCAUCCGGAAAAGUGCAGAAGAAGGACCAAAAGAAGGCAGCUACAGAGGAAAUUCCUCCCACGUCACCUCCAGUUGUAAAAGUCGAAACAUCUCCACAGCCAUCAACAUCACGACAGGUAUUCCAGAAGAGAGAUGGGCGACUCUUUGCCCCAGAAGCUGUAAUCCCGCGCAAAUACAAACCCAAUGCAAUUGAUCGUCGUGUCUUCUCGUCCGACAGUGAUGAUUGGACACGCGAAAGGAAGCGCAAGGAGGAUAAGAUGGACAUUUGGGUGGAAGUAUGGUCGGAUAAGGAGAAAAAAUGGCUCACAGUGGAUCUAUUUAAUGGGCAUGUGGGUAAAACGGAUAAAACCACGCAGACGGCAUCACAGCCCGUAGCGUACGUAUUUGCAUGGCAUGCUGAUAAGACGGUGAAGGAUGUUUCACCGCGGUACUGCCCCCAAUGGAAUACAACCACGAGGAAGUUUCGAAUUGAUCCUAUAUGGCUGGAGGAGAGCCUUAAACCCUUCAUGGGACGCAAGACACGUCGUGAUAAGGAUGAAGAUCGCGAACUGGAUAAACUUCAUCUCGAUAAGCCACUCCCGAAGACAAUUUCGGAAUUUAAAGAUCAUCCUCUGUAUGUCUUGGAGAGGCAUCUUCUGAAAUUUCAAGCUCUCUAUCCACCUAAUCCACCACCCUUGGGGUACAUCCGGAAGGAGCCUAUCUAUGCCCGAGAAUGCGUUCAUACCCUGCAAACGCGUGAACGAUGGCACAAAGAGGCACGUGUUGUAAAGCCCGAACAGACAGCAUACAAAAUUGUCAAGACACUCAAAUGGGACAAGUACACCAGUACCAUCCUGAAGGAUCAACCUCUGGAGAUUUUUGGAAUUUGGCAGACAACCCCAUACGUACCUCCAGUGGCCAAAGAUGGCGUUGUGCCACGCAAUGAAUAUGGGAAUGUGGAGCUCUUCAAGGAUUGCAUGUUGCCUAAGAAUACGGUACAUUUGCGUCUUCCGGGUGUCAAUAAAAUCUGCAAGCGUCUCAAUAUUGAUUGCGCUCCGGCCAUUGUGGGUUUUGACUUCCACUCGGGCUGGUCCCAUCCAACCUACGAUGGUUUUGUCAUUUGCAAGGAAUUCGAGGAUACCGUCUUGGAUGCAUGGAAUGCAGAACAAGAUGAGGCAGAACGCAAAGAGGUGGAGAAACGCGAGAAACGUGUCUACGGGAAUUGGCGCAAACUCAUCAAAGGGCUCCUUAUUAAGGCAAGACUUCAGGCUAAAUACAAUUUCAGGCAGGAAGCAGCCUAAGUCCCACCCCUGCGCUAGCAGCCGGAAUUUCCAGAAAAGGGCAUCACUACGCGGGUCAUUUGCUCGCGUGCGGAAAACUCCAUCAAAGUCUAUCAAUUGAUUGAUGGCGACAGCAUAGUUUUUCUUUUAGAGAAUUGAUUACUCGUCAGCUCAUAAAGCAUUCACAUUUAAUAUUCAAUCACAUCAUCUUCCCCGACGAUCAUCUCUCGACGGCCGCCACCCAGAGAGGUUUCUAGGCCAGAACUUCCUGUCGCAGAGGCGCAUGAGUGCGACAGUUUGUGAUUGAGAAAAACAACACCAUCAGCGUGAAAGAAGGAAGCCUCCGGCGAGAAGUUUUGCGAUUAUAGAACAUGACCUAACACAUGCAUUCUUCACAUUUGCACUCCCUCCUCCAGCUGUGUGUACCCUCGAGCACUUUUGCACCUGAGUAUACAUAGCUAAAAAGGCGGCCGGGCCCUCUUCACCCUGCAGGUACGCGUUGAGCUCGAAUGACCACCGCGAAGCCCUUGUGUGCCUGUGGUUGUGUAUUGAAAUCGAAAAUUGCCCGCGUUUUCCACACUCGCGAGCAACCGUUGAUUGUCUGAUACGGUGGAUGUUCUUUUUUUUCGUGUAUUGGCUCUCCGUUUUACCUGGGCACGACACAAAUCGUCGGGUGUAAGAACAGCUGCUGUGGCACGAUUGCGCGCUUUGAGUGUACUUUAGUCACCAUUUGAGCCUCCAGUUGGCUUGUUUCGCGCUGCAAUUUCACUCCGCGGGGAGGCCCUAUUGCGCGCCACACAAUUCAUAUACCCUACACCAGGAAAAUCCUCCAAAUUUCGCGCGUGUAUCCCUCUCUAAUUGUAACACCUUGUGGGGAUUUACAGUGGUGGUCAUUUGACAAGAAAGAAAAAAAAUUUGUGGUGCUUUUAAUUGAAAUUUUUACACGUGCAAAUUGAUGGAUUUUUCUUCCUCAUUCGUGGAUGUCAUUGAGGAAGAAAAAAAAGAAAGAAUUCUUCACUAAAAAAAAAGAAUUCUCAGCUGUGUGUG
Molecule: RNA transcript, 4274 nt
Organism: Lutzomyia longipalpis
Lineage: Eukaryota; Metazoa; Arthropoda; Insecta; Diptera; Psychodidae
Gene: Xpc
Gene name: DNA repair protein complementing XP-C cells homolog
Exons: 8
Source: RefSeq, a predicted model, not a curated record